Molecule: non-coding RNA, 30 nt
Filed under: Homo sapiens (human)
Lineage: Eukaryota; Metazoa; Chordata; Mammalia; Primates; Hominidae
Source: RNAcentral
UGAUACAGAUCAGGUACACCUACACUCCCA